Molecule: ribosomal RNA, 525 nt
Filed under: Brevundimonas sp. TW_LB_DL4
Lineage: Bacteria; Pseudomonadati; Pseudomonadota; Alphaproteobacteria; Caulobacterales; Caulobacteraceae
Description: bacterial SSU rRNA
Rfam family: Bacterial small subunit ribosomal RNA
Source: RNAcentral
ACUUGUGCUAAUACCGAAUGUGCCCUUCGGGGGAAAGAUUUAUCGCCUUUAGAGCGGCCCGCGUCUGAUUAGCUAGUUGGUGAGGUAAAGGCUCACCAAGGCGACGAUCAGUAGCUGGUCUGAGAGGAUGAUCAGCCACAUUGGGACUGAGACACGGCCCAAACUCCUACGGGAGGCAGCAGUGGGGAAUCUUGCGCAAUGGGCGAAAGCCUGACGCAGCCAUGCCGCGUGAAUGAUGAAGGUCUUAGGAUUGUAAAAUUCUUUCACCGGGGACGAUAAUGACGGUACCCGGAGAAGAAGCCCCGGCUAACUUCGUGCCAGCAGCCGCGGUAAUACGAAGGGGGCUAGCGUUGCUCGGAAUUACUGGGCGUAAAGGGAGCGUAGGCGGACAUUUAAGUCAGGGGUGAAAUCCCGGGGCUCAACCUCGGAAUUGCCUUUGAUACUGGGUGUCUUGAGUAUGAGAGAGGUGUGUGGAACUCCGAGUGUAGAGGUGAAAUUCGUAGAUAUUCGGAAGAACACCAGUGG